UAUUUUCUGCAUUCGCCCUUGC
Molecule: microRNA, 22 nt
Filed under: human gammaherpesvirus 4 (Epstein-Barr virus)
Lineage: Duplodnaviria; Heunggongvirae; Peploviricota; Herviviricetes; Herpesvirales; Orthoherpesviridae
Description: ebv-miR-BART2-5p
Gene: ebv-miR-BART2-5p
Source: miRBase by way of RNAcentral